AAUUUUGGACAAUGGGGGCAACCCUGAUCCAGCCAUGCCGCGUGAGUGAAGAAGGCCUUCGGGUUGUAAAGCUCUUUCGGCCGGGAAGAAAUCGUGCAGGCUAAUACCCUGUAUGGAUGACGGUACCGGAAUAAGAAGCACCGGCUAACUACGUGCCAGCAGCCGCGGUAAUACGUAGGGUGCGAGCGUUAAUCGGAAUUACUGGGCGUAAAGCGUGCGCAGGCGGUUUUGUAAGACAGGCGUGAAAUCCCCGGGCUCAACCUGGGAACUGCGCUUGUGACUGCAAGACUAGAGUACGGCAGAGGGGGGUGGAAUUCCACGUGUAGCAGUGAAAUGCGUAGAGAUGUGGAGGAACACCAAUGGCGAAGGCAGCCCCCUGGGUCGAUACUGACGCUCAUGCACGAAAGCGUGGGGAGCAAACAGGAUUAGAUACCCUGGUAGUCCACGCCCUAAACGAUGUCAACUAGUUGUUGGUAGGGUAAAACCAUAUCUAGUAACGGAGCUAACGCGUGAAGUGACCG
This 521-nucleotide ribosomal RNA is filed under the name uncultured beta proteobacterium. Its description in RNAcentral is "bacterial SSU rRNA". It matches the Rfam family "Bacterial small subunit ribosomal RNA", at positions 360 to 871 of the family's 1533-position model. The record is from RNAcentral. Lineage: Bacteria; Pseudomonadati; Pseudomonadota; Betaproteobacteria.